RNAcentral lists this ribosomal RNA (254 nucleotides) under uncultured bacterium. RNAcentral's name for it is "partial 16S ribosomal RNA". It matches the Rfam family "Bacterial small subunit ribosomal RNA", at positions 524 to 777 of the family's 1533-position model. The record is from RNAcentral.
UACGUAGGUGACAAGCGUUGUCCGGAUUUACUGGGCGUAAAGAGCGCGCAGGCGGUCGUUCAAGUCGAGUGUGAAAGCCCCCGGCUCAACUGGGGAGGGUCACUCGAUACUGAUCGACUCGAAGGCAGGAGAGGGAAGUGGAAUUCCCGGUGUAGUGGUGAAAUGCGUAGAUAUCGGGAGGAACACCAGUGGCGAAGGCGGGUCUCUGGACAGUUCCUGACGCUGAGGCACGAAGGCCAGGGGAGCGAAACGGG